RNAcentral lists this ribosomal RNA (509 nucleotides) under uncultured bacterium. RNAcentral describes it as "bacterial SSU rRNA". It matches the Rfam family "Bacterial small subunit ribosomal RNA", at positions 17 to 510 of the family's 1533-position model. The record is from RNAcentral.
UUCUGGCUCAGAUUGAACGCUGGCGGCGUGCUUAACACAUGCAAGUCGAACGCGAAAGGGGCUUCGGUCCUGAGUAAAGUGGCGCACGGGUGAGUAACGCGUGGAUAAUCUGCCCUUAUGAUUGGAAUAACAGUUGGAAACGGCUGCUAAUACCGGAUACGCUCAAAAUGAACUUUUUGAGGAAAGAUGGCCUCUGCUUGCAUGCUAUCGCAUAAGGAUGAGUCCGCGUCCCAUUAGCUUGUUGGCGGGGUAACGGCCCACCAAGGCAUCGAUGGGUAGCCGAUUUGAGAGGAUGAUCGGCCACACUGGAACUGAAACACGGUCCAGACUCCUACGGGAGGCAGCAGUGGGGAAUAUUGCGCAAUGGGCGAAAGCCUGACGCAGCGACGCCGCGUGAGGGAUGAAGGUUUUCGGAUCGUAAACCUCUGUCAGAAGGGAAGAAACUACGUUGUGCUAAUCAGCAGCGUACUGACGGUACCUUCAAGGAAGCACCGGCUAACUCCGUGCCA